UACGGGGGGAGCAAGCGUUGUUCGGAUUUACUGGGCGUAAAGGGCGCGUAGGCGGUCAGCACAAGUCAGUUGUGAAAUCUCCGGGCUUAACUCGGAAAGGUCAACUGAUACUGUGCGACUAGAGUGCAGAAGGGGCAACUGGAAUUCUCGGUGUAGCGGUGAAAUGCGUAGAUAUCGGAAGGAACACCAGUGGCGAAAGCGGCUUCCUGGUCCAGCACCGACGUUCAGGCACGAAAGCGUGGGGAGCAAACAGG
RNAcentral lists this ribosomal RNA (254 nucleotides) under uncultured bacterium. Its description in RNAcentral is "partial 16S ribosomal RNA". It matches the Rfam family "Bacterial small subunit ribosomal RNA", at positions 524 to 776 of the family's 1533-position model. The record is from RNAcentral.